This 122-nucleotide ribosomal RNA is filed under the name Fusarium sp. RNAcentral describes it as "partial large subunit ribosomal RNA". Lineage: Eukaryota; Fungi; Ascomycota; Sordariomycetes; Hypocreales; Nectriaceae. The record is from RNAcentral.
CGGCAACAGCUCAAAUUUGAAAUCUGGCUCUCGGGCCCGAGUUGUAAUUUGUAGAGGAUACUUUUGAUGCGGUGCCUUCCGAGUUCCCUGGAACGGGACGCCAUAGAGGGUGAGAAUCCCGU